Molecule: long non-coding RNA, 3631 nt
Organism: Columba livia (rock pigeon)
Lineage: Eukaryota; Metazoa; Chordata; Aves; Columbiformes; Columbidae
Exons: 3
Source: RefSeq, a predicted model, not a curated record
GGUAAGGCUGGACUAUUCUUACUUUGUUCAAACAAAUCCAAUUUUUGUCUUUCUAAAGCUGACCAGCCAUAUUGAUGCUUUUCUUCAGCAUAAUCCAUCUUUUGCUCAUGAUGAUCUCUUGCAUCUCUUUCUAGCUCAUUACAUAAAUUUGAAGAUAAUAUAUCUGCUUACAGAAAUAUUUGCAGCACUAUUGUGAGGUCUCUGGCACCAUGAUGAUGAUGAAGAGAGGACUGUGAGCCACCAGUGAAAGGGACUGUGGAAAGCAACACCACUGUGAACGGGGUGAUUGAAUGACUACCUGACAUCUCACAGCUCCAGAUCAGCAGGCUGAUGUGACUGUUGGUAAUCAUCUGUGGUGUAGGAGGCUACAUGGUAAAAGAAAUUAUGACUUUCAGAGGAUCUGGACAAAAGAACUGAUGUCAAUGUUGAUGAGUGAAGGGACUUCUGCUGACAAGACUUCAGUUCUACCAUGAGAAAUUCAAAGAGUCAUAGAAUAGUUUGGGUUGGAAGGGAUGUUCAAAGCUUGUCUAGUCCAGACCCCUGCCACGAGCAGGACAUUUUCACCCAGAUCAGGUUGCUCAGAGCCCCGUCCAGCCUGGCCUGGGAUGUCUCCAGGGUUGGGGCAUCCACCACCUCUCUGGGCAACCUGGGCCAGUAUUUUACCACCUUCAUUGUAAAAAAUUUCUUCCUCAUGUCUACCCUGAAUCUCCCCUCAUUUAGUUUAAAACUGUUACCUCUUGUCCUUUUGCAACAGGCCCUGCUAAAAGUCUGUCCCAUCUUUAUUACAGUCCCCUUUCAAGUACUGAAAGGCUGCAAUAACGUCUCCCUGGAGCCUUCUCUUCUCCAGGCUGAACAACCCCAGCUCUCUCAGCCUGUCCUCCCAGCAGAGCUGUUCCAGCCUCUGAUCAUUUCUGUGGCUCCUCUGGCCCCUCUCCAACAGGUCCAUGUCUUUCCUGCACUGAGGGCUCCAGAGCUGGACACAGGACUCCAGGUGGGGUCUCACCAGAGCGGAGCAGAGGGGCAGAAUUGAACUCCCUUAACAGAGAGGCUGGGAAUUGAUGACAAUGUUGACUGUGAUAAUCCUGGUUUUCUCACCCAUCUCCCCAGGCUACUGGUGUCACAAACUUGGGGGGGCAGAAUGGCAUGGACACCCAGGAUCUGCCUUAUGGCUUCUGAUGUUCCUUUCUUUCACCUGCAGAGGAGCAGCAUGAGAGCUUAAUGAGACACUGCUGUACGAGCUGGAGCAAGCCACACAACCUGCCAAGAAGUGGUCCCCACAUUUAUGGCCAGCAAUGCAUUGAAAUAGAUGAAGAUAUUGAAUAUUAAAUGAUGAACAAACCAAGCCUUAGAAGACCAAGAAUGGCUAUAACUACUGGCGCAUUUGUGUCUAUUACCGACAACUCAUUGCUGAAUGGAAAAUAAUUCCAAGAUCAGAGAAGACCUGAAAAUUCUGACGUUUGUUUCAGGAUUGCUGAAAGUGACCUGGACAGAUAUACAUGGAUGUUGCAAAGGGAUCUUUCUGUGCAAUGGGAAAGAAUAUUUUAGAAGGGAUACAGCUAUUUAGUGCUGUUACUUGUCUACACAUAUCUACUGGUCUGACCAUCCUAAGUUUGAGAUGCAGCAGCUCAAGAUGCAGAGCUGCAGAGUUCCUAUCAUAGACAUUCUUUGCAGAAUAUGUGUGCAGCUGAAGUACAGUUUUUCAAGCAGAAGGAAAGCAUCAAGAAAGGCACAUAUGCAGUUCUUCACACACUGCUUAUCAGCCCCAUGUUUGUCACAGCAUCAUUGCAAGGAACACAGAGAAGAGCUGUGUUUUGAUAAAAACUCUUGUAUUUAUGGAUAAAGUCCAAAUCUCUAUAACACAGCAAAGGGAGCUGGUUCAGCUCUUCAGAGGAUUCAGUAACUAUUCUGCAGCAGAAGUCAGAAUGGUGUUUUAUGGCUUUUCUUUCUCAAACGGCUUGCUUACAUGGGCUUGUGCUUUAACACAUCUGGUGUCUAUGUAGAAAUGAUGAGCUCACUUCAGCUUGAUUUCAAGAGCUUGACUUCAGGCUGUGAAGUUGUUGGGCCAGCACUCAGGGACAGAUUGCUGGUGUCCUGCAUAACACUACAUAAAUAUGAAAAAUAGCUGGUGCUCAGGUUCUGAGCAGAAACAGCAAUUAAUAAUGCUGAGUUUACAUAAAAAUCAGUUCUGGAAACCAUACUUCUAUAAGGAAUAUAUUUCACUAUACUACCCAAACUUUGGAUUACUUGAAAUGCCACCAGGUUUUAGCUUCCACAGGUUUACAAGAUUUCUGCGUUCUCCUCAUUCUGCCAAUCUCUAGCUUGAACAUGUAAUGGUGAGGGGUUGUUUUUUUCUUAUUCAAAGUGGAACCUAGAAACAUGGAAAUCUAUCUGCUUCCCAAAUUCCCCUCAUUGGAUCUAUGAGCACCUCACAAUUUAUGCUAGAAAAAUAGAGUAGUGUCCUGUGUCAACACCACCAGUAAUUCCCAAUAAUGUAAAGCGAAUUAAUCAAAUAUGCAACUAAGACAAUGGACAUAAUACAUUUAUAGAGAUAAAAGGAGUUUAAAGGUCUUCAGAGCUAAUUGCUUUGAUGUAGUUAGAAAGGUCAAUAGAGUAUAACAUAGUUACAUAUCCCACAGAAUCACAGAAUGUCAGGGAUUGGAAGGGACCUCAAAAGAUCAUCUAGUCCAAUCCCCCUGCCAGAGCAGGAACACCCAGAUGAGGUUACACAGGAAGGUGUCCAGGCGGGUUCUGAAUGUCUCCAGAGAAGGAGACUCCACAACCCCCCUGGGCAGCCUGUUCCAGUGUCUGUCACCCUCACUGAGAAGAAGUUUCUUAUCAUAUUUAAGUGGAACCUCCUGUGUUCCAGUUAAUGCCCACUACCCCUUGACCUAUCAUUGGUUGUCACCAAGAAGAGCCUGGCUCCUUGUGACACUCACCCUUUAUAUAUUUGUAAACAUUAAUAAGGUCACCCCUCAGUCUCCUCUUCUCCAAGCUAAAGAGCCCCAGCUCCCUCAGCCUUUCCUCACACAGGAGAUGCUCCACUCCCUUCAUCAUCUUUUGUUGCCCUGCGCUGGACUCUCUCCAGCAGUUCCCUGUCCUUCUGGAACUGAGGGGCCCAGAACUGGACACAAUAUUCCAGGUGUGGUCUCACCAGGGCAAAGUAGAGAGGGAGGAGAACCUCUCUGACCUACUAACCACCCCUCUUCUAAUCCACCCCAGGUACCGUUGGCCUUCCUGGCCACAAGGGCACAGUGCUGGCUCAUGGCCAUCCUGCUGUCCACCAGGACCCCCAGGUCCCUUUCCCCUACACUGCUUUCCACUUCCUCCUUCUCAGUGUGAAUACCACUGCUUAUCUGUAUUUACACUACAGUACACAUCAGGACAAAACCAUUAUCCUCACUAUAAAAUCACGUACCAUCUAGACAGGCUUCUACACACAGCAGGUUGUAUAGUUUGGAUAUAAAUUCAGUGGGCUUGACAUGUUAAAAUGAACUUGAUAGCUGUGUGCUAUUCUUGUGUAGACAUCACAUUAAAGACUCUCAUUUGCUGAAAUCUGCAAGGAUCUUUUUUUAUUUUCAAAUAAAUCUCAACACAAAACCAGCAGCUUCAAACUCUGUCUCAAGCACAGCAC